RNAcentral lists this ribosomal RNA (698 nucleotides) under uncultured Escherichia sp. RNAcentral describes it as "bacterial SSU rRNA". It matches the Rfam family "Bacterial small subunit ribosomal RNA", at positions 31 to 719 of the family's 1533-position model. Lineage: Bacteria; Pseudomonadati; Pseudomonadota; Gammaproteobacteria; Enterobacterales; Enterobacteriaceae. The record is from RNAcentral.
GAACGCUGGCGGCAGCCUAACACAUGCAAGUCGAACGGUAACAGAAAGCAGCUUGCUGCUUUGCUGACGAGUGGCGGACGGGUGAGUAAUGUCUGGGAAACUGCCUGAUGGAGGGGGAUAACUACUGGAAACGGUAGCUAAUACCGCAUAACGUCGCAAGACCAAAGAGGGGGACCUUAGGGCCUCUUGCCAUCGGAUGUGCCCAGAUGGGAUUAGCUAGUAGGUGGGGUAACGGCUCACCUAGGCGACGAUCCCUAGCUGGUCUGAGAGGAUGACCAGCCACACUGGAACUGAGACACGGUCCAGACUCCUACGGGAGGCAGCAGUGGGGAAUAUUGCACAAUGGGCGCAAGCCUGAUGCAGCCAUGCCGCGUGUAUGAAGAAGGCCUUCGGGUUGUAAAGUACUUUCAGCGGGGAGGAAGGGAGUAAAGUUAAUACCUUUGCUCAUUGACGUUACCCGCAGAAGAAGCACCGGCUAACUCCGUGCCAGCAGCCGCGGUAAUACGGAGGGUGCAAGCGUUAAUCGGAAUUACUGGGCGUAAAGCGCACGCAGGCGGUUUGUUAAGUCAGAUGUGAAAUCCCCGGGCUCAACCUGGGAACUGCAUCUGAUACUGGCAGGCUUGAGUCUCGUAGAGGGGGGUAGAAUUCCAGGUGUAGCGGUGAAAUGCGUAGAGAUCUGGAGGAAUACCGGUGGCGAA